This 603-nucleotide ribosomal RNA is filed under the name Triticum aestivum (bread wheat). RNAcentral describes it as "partial small subunit ribosomal RNA". Lineage: Eukaryota; Viridiplantae; Streptophyta; Magnoliopsida; Poales; Poaceae. The record is from RNAcentral.
AUGCAAAGAGUCAAUGUUGCUGCUACAGAAGCAAUGGAGACAGAUGGGCAGUCAAGUCGUGGGGGACGGGCUCCGGGCAGUACACAAGUACCUGCAAUUGUAGCAGCUGGGAGUGAUGCUCAUACCCUUGAUGGCAAAGGUGCCGCAGGUGAUACUGGUGGCACUGUUGGUAAUGGUUUGGGUGCUGAAAAUGAUGAUGAAGCUUGGUCACAGCCCAAGGAGCCUUAUGUGGGCAUGAGGUUCGACACUUUGGAAGAUGCCAAGGAGCAUUACAAUGCAUAUUCCUUGCAAAUGGGGUUUUCAAUCAAAAUGAAUAGUUCAAGGAAGGAUAUGAAAAUCGGGGAGUUGAUAAAACAACAGUUUGUUUGCAAGAAGUUUCGAAAGCCUGAUGUUGAUGACAGAGGGGCAGAAAAGAUUCCCGUGCUAGAUGACAUUGUUGAGCAAGCAAAAGAUGAUAAUGAAGAUGAGGCUAUUGUCUUUCUUGAUGAUGAUAGUAAAGGAAAAAAGAGGAGCAAGAAACGAAAAAGAGAUAAAAUUGUGCAAACUGGUUGCAAAGCUAAGAUGAUUGUGAAGGUAAUAGAUGGCAGAUGGGAGGUGAUCUAG